AGAGUUUGAUCCUGGCUCAGGAUGAACGCUAGCUACAGGCUUAACACAUGCAAGUCGAGGGGCAGCAUGGUCUUAGCUUGCUAAGGCCGAUGGCGACCGGCGCACGGGUGAGUAACACGUAUCCAACCUGCCGUCUACUCUUGGACAGCCUUCUGAAAGGAAGAUUAAUACAAGAUGGCAUCAUGAGUCCGCAUGUUCACAUGAUUAAAGGUAUUCCGGUAGACGAUGGGGAUGCGUUCCAUUAGAUAGUAGGCGGGGUAACGGCCCACCUAGUCUUCGAUGGAUAGGGGUUCUGAGAGGAAGGUCCCCCACAUUGGAACUGAGACACGGUCCAAACUCCUACGGGAGGCAGCAGUGAGGAAUAUUGGUCAAUGGGCGAGAGCCUGAACCAGCCAAGUAGCGUGAAGGAUGACUGCCCUAUGGGUUGUAAACUUCUUUUAUAAAGGAAUAAAGUCGGGUAUGCAUACCCGUUUGCAUGUACUUUAUGAAUAAGGAUCGGCUAACUCCGUGCCAGCAGCCGCGGUAAUACGGAGGAUCCGAGCGUUAUCCGGAUUUAUUGGGUUUAAAGGGAGCGUAGAUGGAUGUUUAAGUCAGUUGUGAAAGUUUGCGGCUCAACCGUAAAAUUGCAGUUGAUACUGGAUAUCUUGAGUGCAGUUGAGGCAGGCGGAAUUCGUGGUGUAGCGGUGAAAUGCUUAGAUAUCACGAAGAACUCCGAUUGCGAAGGCAGCCUGCUAAGCUGCAACUGACAUUGAGGCUCGAAAGUGUGGGUAUCAAACAGGAUUAGAUACCCUGGUAGUCCACACGGUAAACGAUGAAUACUCGCUGUUUGCGAUAUACAGCAAGCGGCCAAGCGAAAGCGUUAAGCAUUCCACCUGGGGAGUACGCCGGCAACGGUGAAACUCAAAGGAAUUGACGGGGGCCCGCACAAGCGGAGGAACAUGUGGUUUAAUUCGAUGAUACGCGAGGAACCUUACCCGGGCUUAAAUUGCAGAUGAAUUACGGUGAAAGCCGUAAGCCGCAAGGCAUCUGUGAAGGUGCUGCAUGGUUGUCGUCAGCUCGUGCCGUGAGGUGCCGGCUUAAGUGCCAUAACGAGCGCAACCCUUGUUGUCAGUUACUAACAGGUUCUGCUGAGGACUCUGACAAGACUGCCAUCGUAAGAUGUGAGGAAGGUGGGGAUGACGUCAAAUCAGCACGGCCCUUACGUCCGGGGCUACACACGUGUUACAAUGGGGGGUACAGAGGGCCGCUACCACGCGAGUGGAUGCCAAUCCCCAAGACCUCUCUCAGUUCGGACUGGAGUCUGCAACCCGACUCACGAAGCUGGAUUCGCUAGUAAUCGCGCAUCAGCCACGGCGCGGUGAAUACGUUCCCGGGCCUUGUACACACCGCCCGUCAAGCCAUGGGAGCCGGGGGUACCUGAAGUGCGUAACCGCGAGGAGCGCCCUAGGGUAAAACUGGUGACUGGGGCUAAGUCGUAACAAGGUA
RNAcentral lists this ribosomal RNA (1485 nucleotides) under metagenome. RNAcentral describes it as "bacterial SSU rRNA". It matches the Rfam family "Bacterial small subunit ribosomal RNA". The record is from RNAcentral.